GGUCCAGUGGUUAGGACUCUGCACUUCCACUGCAGGGGACCUGGGUUCGAUCCCUUG
This 57-nucleotide transfer RNA is filed under the name Bos taurus (domestic cattle). It matches the Rfam family "tRNA", at positions 9 to 63 of the family's 71-position model. Rfam says of the family: Transfer RNA (tRNA) molecules are approximately 80 nucleotides in length. Lineage: Eukaryota; Metazoa; Chordata; Mammalia; Artiodactyla; Bovidae. RNAcentral also lists the same sequence under 5 other names. The record is from Rfam by way of RNAcentral.